The sequence is a ribosomal RNA, 574 nucleotides long. It matches the Rfam family "Archaeal small subunit ribosomal RNA", at positions 1 to 552 of the family's 1478-position model.
AGACCGGUUGAUCCUGCCGGAGGGAACCCCUAUCGGGCUCGGACUAAGUCAUGCAAGUCUACCGAAGGCCCCUGCCUUCGGUGGCGAACGGCUCCGUAAUACGCGGUCAACCUACCCUGGGGAGGGGGAUAACCUCUGGAAACUGAGGCUAAUCCCCCAUAGGGGCGAAGUGCUGAGAUGCCUUCGCCCCGAAAGUAGGCGGAGGGGUUAUGGCUCCGCCCAGGCCCCAGGAUGGGACCGCGGCCCAUCAGGUAGUAGGUGGGGUAACGGCCCACCUAGCCGAAGACGGGUACGGGCGGUGAGAGCCGGAGCCCGGAGAUGGCCACUGAGACAAGGGGCCAGGCCCUACGGGGCGCAGCAGACGCGAAAACUCCGCAAUGCGGGAAACCGCGACGGGGCGAGCCCGAGUGCCUCCCUAAAAGGGAGGCUGUCCCCGAGCCUAAACAGCUCGGGAUAGGAAGGGGAGGGUAAGGCUGGUGCCAGCCGCCGCGGUAAAACCAGCUCCCCGAGGGGUUCCCACGCAUACUGGGCCUAAAGCGUCCGUAGCCGGCCCCGUAAGUCCUCGGUUAAAUCC